This 468-nucleotide ribosomal RNA is filed under the name uncultured bacterium. RNAcentral describes it as "partial 16S ribosomal RNA". It matches the Rfam family "Bacterial small subunit ribosomal RNA", at positions 28 to 507 of the family's 1533-position model. The record is from RNAcentral.
GACGAACGCUGGCGGCGUGCUUAACACAUGCAAGUCGAACGGAAAGGCCCUGCUUUUGUGGGGUGCUCGAGUGGCGAACGGGUGAGUAACACGUGAGUAACCUGCCCUUGACUUUGGGAUAACUUCAGGAAACUGGGGCUAAUACCGGAUAGGAGCUCCUGCUGCAUGGUGGGGGUUGGAAAGUUUCGGCGGUUGGGGAUGGACUCGCGGCUUAUCAGCUUGUUGGUGGGGUAGUGGCUUACCAAGGGUUUGACGGGUAGCCGGCCUGAGAGGGUUAACGACCACAUUGGGACUGAGAUACGGACCAGAAUCCUACGGGAGGCAGCAGGGGGGAAUAUUGCACAAUGGGCGGAAGCCUGAUGCAGCAACGCCGCGUGCGGGAUGACGGCCUUCGGGUUGUAAACCGCUUUCGCCUGUGACGAAGCGUGAGUGACGGUAAUGGGUAAAGAAGCACCGGCUAACUACGUG